Molecule: ribosomal RNA, 483 nt
Filed under: uncultured bacterium
Lineage: Bacteria
Description: partial 16S ribosomal RNA
Rfam family: Bacterial small subunit ribosomal RNA
Source: RNAcentral
GACGAACGCUGGCGGCGUGCUUAACACAUGCAAGUCGAACGAUGAAGCCGGAGCUUGCUCUGGUGAAUUAGUGGCGAACGGGUGAGUAACACGUGAGUAACCUGCCCUUGACUCUGGGAUAACUGCUAGAAAUGGUAGCUAAUACCGGAUACGACCCUCGGAGGCAUCUCCAGGGGGUGGAGAGAAUUUCGAUCAAGGAUGGACUCGCGGCCUAUCAGCUAGUUGGUGAGGUAAUGGCUCACCAAGGCGACGACGGGUAGCCGGCCUGAGAGGGUGACCGGCACACUGGGACUGAGACACGGCCCAGACUCCUACGGGAGGCAGCAGUGGGGAAUAUUGCACAAUGGGCGCAAGCCUGAUGCAGCAACGCCGCGUGAGGGAUGACGGCCUUCGGGUUGUAAACCUCUUUUAGUAGGGAAGAAGCGAAAGUGAUGGUACCUGCAGAAAAAGCACCGGCUAACUACGUGCCAGCCGCCGCGGUAA